GGGUCAUUGGGGCUUGAUUCUCCCUUCGGGUGUGAGAGGUCCCAGGUUCAAAUCCUGGAAGAGCCC
Danionella cerebrum is the source of this 66-nucleotide non-coding RNA. Lineage: Eukaryota; Metazoa; Chordata; Actinopteri; Cypriniformes; Danionidae. The record is from the annotation of a GenBank genome assembly.